GCGGGUGUAGCUCAACGGUAGAGCACUUGCCUUCCAAGCAAGAUGUUGUGGGUUCAAAUCCCAUCGCCCGCU
Molecule: transfer RNA, 72 nt
Filed under: Fimbriiglobus ruber
Lineage: Bacteria; Pseudomonadati; Planctomycetota; Planctomycetia; Gemmatales; Gemmataceae
Rfam family: tRNA
About the family: Transfer RNA (tRNA) molecules are approximately 80 nucleotides in length. Their secondary structure includes four short double-helical elements and three loops (D, anti-codon, and T loops). Further hydrogen bonds mediate the characteristic L-shaped molecular structure. tRNAs have two regions of fundamental functional importance: the anti-codon, which is responsible for specific mRNA codon recognition, and the 3' end, to which the tRNAs corresponding amino acid is attached (by aminoacyl-tRNA synthetases). tRNAs cope with the degeneracy of the genetic code in two manners: having more than one tRNA (with a specific anti-codon) for a particular amino acid; and 'wobble' base-pairing, i.e. permitting non-standard base-pairing at the 3rd anti-codon position.
Source: Rfam by way of RNAcentral